GACGAACGCUGGCGGCGUGCUUAACACAUGCAAGUCGAACGGAAAGGCCCUGCUUUUGUGGGGUGCUCGAGUGGCGAACGGGUGAGUAACACGUGAGUAACCUGCCCUUGACUUUGGGAUAACUUCAGGAAACUGGGGCUAAUACCGGAUAGGAGCUCCUGCUGCAUGGUGGGGGUUGGAAAGUUUCGGCGGUUGGGGUUGGACUCGCGGCUUAUCAGCUUGUUGGUGGGGUAGUGGCUUACCAAGGCUUUGACGGGUAGCCGGCCUGAGAGGGUGACCGGCCACAUUGGGACUGAGAUACGGCCCAGACUCCUACGGGAGGCAGCAGUGGGGAAUAUUGCACAAUGGGCGGAAGCCUGAUGCAGCAAUGCCGCGUGCGGGAUGACGGCCUUCGGGCUGUAAACCGCUUUCGCCUGUGACGAAGCGUGAGUGACGGUAAUGGGUAAAGAAGCACCGGCUAACUACGUG
This 468-nucleotide ribosomal RNA is filed under the name uncultured bacterium. RNAcentral's name for it is "partial 16S ribosomal RNA". It matches the Rfam family "Bacterial small subunit ribosomal RNA", at positions 28 to 507 of the family's 1533-position model. The record is from RNAcentral.